This 301-nucleotide ribosomal RNA is filed under the name uncultured bacterium. Its description in RNAcentral is "partial 16S ribosomal RNA". It matches the Rfam family "Bacterial small subunit ribosomal RNA", at positions 509 to 807 of the family's 1533-position model. The record is from RNAcentral.
CAGUAGCCGCAGUAAUACGUAGGUGGCAAGCGUUGUCCGGAAUUAUUGGGCGUAAAGGGCUCGCAGGCGGUUUCUCAAGUCUGAUGUGAAAGCCCCCGGCUCAACCGGGGAGGGUCAUUGGAAACUGGGAAACUUGAGUGCAGAAGAGGAGAGUGGAAUUCCACGUGUAGCGGUGAAAUGCGUAGAGAUGUGGAGGAACACCGGUGGCGAAGGCGACUCUCUGGUCUGUAACUGACGCUGAGGAGCGAAAGCGUGGGGAGCGAACAGGAUUAGAUACCCCAGUAGUCCCUGUCUCUUAUAC